AAGCUUAUGAGAUUUUACUAUUCUUAGUUAAAGCAUUUACUUUCAUCUUCAAUCACUAGAGAAUAAUGAUGAAUAUUGACACAGUUGAGCCCAUUAAUACAGAGGAUACAAUAAAGAAUGCAAGUAAACAAAAUUCUAAACUGGUCACAAAAACAUUGAAAAGAUUGACAUACUCAUAGCACAUACAACUGAAGAAUAUACAAUGUAACAUUACAUUUUUAGAAUUUCUGUAUUAUUUCUGUUCCUUUAGGUAGAGUGGAAACAAUUAACAUUUGAAGCUAAGCACAAGGAGCUAUAUUUUGUUGGAUAUAUUUCUUAGGAUUAUUGGUUUAAAUAAUAGAAGUAGUUAUAUAAUACACUUUCAGUCAAACUGUCAAUCAAAGAUAGUGUGUGCUCAUUUAUGACCCUUUGUGCUUCUCUGGCUGACAUUUCUGUAGGUAACCUAAUUUAUGACCAGGGUGGGGGUAGCCCUAUCGACUGUAUCAGUGGGUCAUUCUGGCACCUGUGUGUCGGGAUCUGUGGGGUGUGGGGGAGUAGUCCCCAACAAAUGUGUUUGUUAAUGUUGUGAAACCUGUUUCUCCCAGUAGUAAUCACACACAAUGUAUACCACAAUGUAUUUUUCGUGGUAUAAGAGAAUGUUUGUUUCUGAAAUUACUUUUUGUGGUAUUGUUUUAUUUGUAGCUUAAGGAUGUUUGGGUGAAAUACGUCUGAAAAAGUGUAUCAAAUGGUUAAUAUUGGGUAUACGUUUGUGUGGGGGAUUUCGUUUAUGUAACCACAUUGUUAGAAAAAGCAUGAUGUUUGAAUGUGUACAUAUAUGAGCAGAAUAUUUGUUUGUGAAACAAAUGAAAACAAAUGUUGAUUACGUUUUUUGGGAGACUGGUUUGACUUGGAAUAAAAAUUUAGGAGGUAAAACAUUUUUUUUUUUUAAAAGAAUCUGUUUAAAAGAAUCAUACGUAUUACAUGUCUUCCAAACAUAAACCUUUAGGAAGUAAAAAUGAGUAAAAGAGCUGUUUAAAAGAAUCCGUAAUACAUGUUUUCCAAAAACAUAACCCUUAUGAGAUAAAAACAAACUGUGGGGAAACAGUUUGUAAUCAAAGAACAGUAAUUAAAUCUAGAAAAUGCGAUGACGACGGUUUGUGUUCCUUUGAACAGUGUGGUAACAUGGAAACAUUACAGUAUUUAAUUCAGACAAUGGAGGAUCUGAAUAGAUCUGAGUCUACCACUGAUACGUUGUUGGAAUUAUUAAACAUUGCGAGAUCAGUGGCAGACGAUCAAGCAGAAUCAAUUCCUCUUCAUCAACUUCAUCAUUAGAACAUGCUUCAAAUUCACAACAGGUGGGGAGGGGUUCAGACAGCGAAUCGUAUCAUACGUUUAAUCCUUUGGAGCCAAAUUUUGGGUUAUCCGCAUCCGCUAUUGAUUCUAUUGUAAGAGAGGGUGGCGAUAUUGGUGGUUGUACAGUGGUAGCGAGACUCAGAUUUAAUAGUUUGGAGAUACGGCGUCAUAUAAAUGUGUGUGAUAAACGCCCCAGACCUGGCUGCGUACACAAUAUUUCUGCAUGGUGUCAUGGAUGAAAUACUGUCAUUUUCCAGACUGCUGGCCAGUGAUGGGGGUUUAAUCAACAUAACAUUGAGAGGCCCUAGUCUACCCUCUGAUGUUAACGCUGUCUUGUGUGCGUGUUCACAAACCAGAUUGAGAACAUUAUGCAAAGCAAUUCUAAUGUGCGAGCUGAUGACAGUUUGGAUCUAAAUGUGUCUAUAGCUCAUGGUAAACACGGUGGUGCUUAUCGAAAGAUACGUGAUCUAGCCCAUAACGAAGUGGUUGCCAUAAACAGAAUGAAUCUGUUUUGUCCCAGCAAUAUAUCUAACAAUCUGUGUUUUGCAAUCUGUCUGGCCCAUUUUCUACAUCACAAAUGUCGUGUACUGAUCUAGAACUGAUAGCCGAGUCUCUGCAGGACACUGCGGGGUAUUCAGUACAGCAAAAGAUAGGGUUUAAUGACAUUACAGAGUUUGAACAGUUGUUACACAUUAAAAUAGUGGUGUUACAUAGAACAUGUACUGGUAUGUUGGAACGGUAUACGUCCAGUGACGUGCCCCAUAACAAGACCAUGUUCUUGUAUCUGCACAACGAACAUUAUUUCAUGAUUAAGAACCUAAAAGCGUUCAUAGGUACUCCAUACGUGUGUGACUACUGCCACCAUGGAUUUACUAGCCGUAGAGACCAUAGGUGUAAAUACAUUUGCAAUGUUUGUAAUGCACCUGAUUAUCAUAAAUACGCUGUCAAAACGAGGCAAUGUCACGAUUGUUUGCGAUACUGCAGAUCUGCUGUGAUGUCACAAAACUGUCACUGUCAGAAAUGUAAUAGGCGAUAUCAUGUCAAUGGAGCCACCCCAAAACAACACGUGUGUGCAGCAGAACUUUGUAUCCAUUGUGGCAUGGAAUCGGUUAAUGACUGUGUACACCAGUGUUUUAUACAGCCAAUAAAACUCGAGCCACCUAGCGACAAAUACAUAUACUAUAAUUUUGAGACACGACACGUAGAUGGUAAACACGUUGCAAACUUCAUAUACGUGAUUACGUUUAAAGGGGAAGAGUUCACAGCUGCUGGUACAGACUAUAUAGAUCAACUUUUAGACAAAGUUUAGAUCAAAGUUUAGACAGCCUCAUUAUCAGAAUUUCACAUGUGUUGCACACAUUGCUUCAGGGUUUUACAACUUUAUAUUUUUGGAAUAUUUCACAAAAGCAGGGCUAACACUUCAAAUUAUUAUGCAAGGCUGUCCGAUCAUUUUAAUGCUUAAUGCUUUCCCGGACAAGACAUUCAAGCACCGUUUCAUUGAUAACUACUCAUUCAUCCCUAUGCGUCUGGCUGUGACGUCCACUGCGUUAAAUCUAACCUGUUCUGAGAGGUCAUUUUCCAUACCUAUUCAGUAGAAUAGAAAAUGAAGACUACAUAGGACCAUACCUGGCUAUGAGACAAUGACUACGUUUACAUGGACAGCAGUAAUCUAAUUAUUGACCUUACUCUGAGUACUCUGUGAUUAAGGUGUUUACAUGAGUUACUUUUAGAAUACUCCUGUCAUGUUCCCAUUUUACAUGUUAUAAAACAUAGUUCAAUUAACAGCAUGUGUCAUUACGUCACCACACCACGCUGUCCGACGUUUCCUCCAGAAUUUCAUGUAUUAACAUACAGCUCAUCUUCGUUAUGGUACCGUAUACAGUUUUGGGUGUUUAAUUUUUUAUUUUAUGAAAGCUUCAAGUGCAGUUAAUCAUUUGUCAUGCUGUACGUGCAAAUAGAUGACGGCGGAUACAAAUUCUCCAGCAACAGGCCUCCUCUGUACUUUCAUUCGGCAACAGUGGUAGUGGUCCUGUACCAGCUCGGUAGCUGCGGGGAAUACCGAGUUCCUAGUCUGGAGGAGGCAAAUGCAAUUGCUUACCGAUUCGAAAUGGAACAUCACAUACCACAGAUAAUCGGAUGCGUUGGCGGGACGCACAUUCCCAUACUUCCGCCAAAAGAUGGAUAUAGGGACUUUGUUAUCGUAAAGGAUGGCCCUCAUACGUGCUUCAGGCAGUCGUGGAUGACCAAUAUUGCUUUUGGAGUGUCAAUUGCCAAGUUCCUGGGAGUGCACAUGAUGUCAAUGUACUGUGGCAAUCACAGCUAUGCAAAAGGCCCAUCUACUCCCCAGGGGAGUGAGGGUGAUUCAGGGGAAACCUGUGCAUUUCUUUCUCCUCGGAGAUCCAGCUUAUCCACUCAUGGACUGACUGAUGAAGUGUUACCCACAGUCUCUAGGCCUAACACCUGAACAAGAGUCGUUCAAUGUUCACCUCAGCUCAACAAGAACAACAGUGGAGAUUGCUUUUGAGAGACUGAAGUCUAGGUGGAGGGUGCUCCUGAAAUGCAGUGAUAUUUUCACUUCACUUUCUCACCUUGCAUGAUUACAUGUUGUGCACUGCACAAUUUUUGUGAACGAGAAAAGGAGAAGGUCCCCCAAUGCUGGAUGGAGGAGGCAACAGUUAUGGAGAGAGCCUUACCCCAGCCCCACAGUGCACCACAGAACCAGCACAGAUGCUUAUGUCAUGAGAGAUGCAUUAUCACCAUACAUGGCAGCAACAUUUCCCCUUUGGAGGAGUAUACAUUAGGCACAAGUGGUUAACAUUCAGCAUAUUUGCUUGCUUUGAGGAGCUUGGAAAGUCACACUUCUUAGUAUUUGUUCAACGUUAUUAUCUCCAGUCUGUGAUGUUAACUGCAUUCAAGAAGUUAUUUUAUGAAGAAGUGCUGCACUUUUUAUUUUAAUGUGAACUAGGCAAUUUCUUUAAGUUUCUGUUGGGUUUUGUAUGCCUUAAUUCCAGGAACACUGCACACAGGUUUGAAGUGCAAAAAAGGACACAACAAAAAGGAUAAUAAGAAAGGGACCUCUUCAAGUUCUGCUCACUUAUGGUAAAUAUUACUUUACAAAAAAUAGAGGUUUAAUUAAAAAAAAACAUUUCAACCCCAUCCAGGGUGUACCCUGCCUUGUGCCCCAUGCUCCCUUAGGUUGGCUCCAGGUAUCUCAUGACCCUGUAGGAUGGACAGAAACUGGAUGGAUGAAUUUUUUAAAUUUUUUUAUUUAGUUAUUUUUUUUCAAAAAAUGAAAGGUUUCACUUACUAACAAAUUUAUAUAACAAAAGACAAGGCACAUUCUUUCCUGUAACACAGGCAAAUAUGAGGUAGGCAAACACAUCUAAACUCAAGUCAAUACAGGCAUUCACAAAGUAUUUUACAUAAGCAGGUUUUCUGCUACCUAAUGGCAGGCUGCUCACAGGUGAGUAUAUGAUCGAGCAUAUUCAUUUGCUUCUUCUGACCCAUGUUCAGCAGUGGAUGUGUUUGACACAGUAGAACCAUGCAGGGUAUAGUUAGAUGGCUGUGUGUGAUACCCUUGAAAGUGUGGGGGGGUGCAGUGAAGGAGGUGCAAACAUUGGAUGUGGGUGCUUUGGAAUCCCUCAACAAGUAUUGAUAUAAUGUGCUCGGUGGAACGGACAUUGCUCUCAAUUAAAGCACUAAGGAGUCUCUCCUCCCUUUGCUCGGAUUGCUGGAUUUGGUCUUGAACCCAUUAAUUUUAUUGCCUCAUCAUCUGUAUCAUGAACUGCUGAUGCUGAGAGAUCACAGUGCAUCUCGCAGAUUUCUUUCUUCGAGAGUAACCUAUGUUAUAUAUGUUACCAUUAAAAAAAAAAUAGAAAUGUCAGUUGAAGUGACAGGCUUUGAUAGCAAUAAAAUUGCUAGAAGUCUUAGAAAAUGAAAAAAAUGAUAUUUUUAAGUGUCUCCAUGUUCUACAUUAAUCAUAUUUUAAAUGUUGGGACAAAUAUGUGCAGCAUACAGUAGCUAGCCUAUGUAACAACUACUGAACCUGAUGAGUCAAACCAAUACAUACCUACAAAGAAUUGUCUUAUACAUAUACGUAUACAUACAUACAUACAUACAUACAUAGUGCCUAUUUAAUGGAAAUAGCAUUUACAUCAAAAACAUGUCACCUUGUGUCCUGGGUGGGUCGACAUCUGGUGCUGUGGCUGAAAAGCUUUCCUCUUGAGUACCAGAUGUAUCAGCUGAUUAUGCCUUAUCUUCAUCUGCAUCCUCGUUCAUUUCCUCCUGGUGAGAUAGAGAACUCGCUUCAUCCCCAACGAUACGAAUUCAAUGGUUGUAUGUUUCACGGGCAUGAUUGGCAGGCAUGUAAUCCCAACCAUUUACAUCCGUUAUCAAAAGUGCCCUACGGCUUGCUCGGAAGACAAUUUGAUGACAAAGUCGAAAUAUUAUAAAAAGCGUAUGGUCUGGAUGUUGAGGCAAUGUGGGAGUGUGAUUGGUAUAACGCUAAACAGACCGAUGUCGAUGUAAUGGCCUUUAUGACCACUUACACACAUCCUGAAAGACUGAAACUGUGCAACGCUCUAUUUUGUGGUCAUACUAACUAAUAGAAAUUGUAUCACAAAGCCGACAUUAGUGAAAAAAUAUGAUAUGUUGACUUUACAAGCUUGUAUCCCUUUUGCCAGGCCAAAAAAUGUUACCCCAUAGGACUUCCCCAAAUAAUUUUCAAGGAUUUUGAACCUCUUGAAAAUUAUUAUGGAUUUGUCAAAGCUACAGUGCUGCUACCACAAAAACUGCUUCACCCCAUCCUUCCCUAUAGGACUGGUGGUAAGCUUAUGUUUCCACUCUGUCGUACAUGCACAGAAAAGCAGAAUCAGACAGACCUGUGUGGACACACUGAUGAGGAAAGCAAUAUCAGGCUGUUGGGUCAGCAUCGAACUAUUGAAAGGUGUGGAAAAGGGUUACUUUGUAAUGAAAGUUACCUUUUCCACAACGGUCAGAAACUUUGUUUUGUGACUAUGUUAAAACAUUUUUACAAUACAAACAAGAGGCCAGUGGGUUCCCCGCUCAUGUUGUGACAGAUGCUGACAAGGAAUCCUACGUCUCUGAUUACUUUGAGAAAGAGGGGAUUAAGAUGCAUGUUGAUAAGUUAAGUCAUAACCCAGCACGGCGUUCUAUUAACAAACUUCUGCUGAACUCAUUUCUGGGUCGUUUCUUGAUGCGUGAAAACUUGCCGUGUACAGAACUAAUUUCCGGCCCAGAACAGUUUACACAACAUAUGGUUAUGACGUUAAACACUUUUCAUUCAUGUCAGACUGCGUAGCACUAAUUUAGUGGUGUUAUUGGGAAAGGGGGUCAGACUUGACAUUAACCUCCUUCUUGGUGCGUUUACAACCGCUCAUGCGCGUCUAGAGCUGUAUGAGUUAAUGGACAAACUGGGUGAUAGGUUGUUGCACAGUUCUUGUGAUGUCAUUUUGCUUCUAUUAGAAUCUGCUGGGCCUAUGUAAAUGAUUCGUAGCAGUUAGAAACAGAAAUCCAAUGGCAGUUUUCUGGCUAGGAUUAAGUGUUGUAUGUGCUGUUUUUUAACCUGGUGAUGUCCUAAUGAAAUGCUUUAUUUUUCACUGACAUGAUAAACAUUCUGAAGACUUAAGAAGUUACUAUUUUGAAUGUUUGGUUAGAUGUAGGCUUUGAUUAGAGAUAGAUAUGGGCUAUAAACUGUAUUAAAACCUGUUAUGCCCCUACUUUUUCACAAAGUAGAGCUGAAAACUUUACAAUGUACAUCUGUUCCAUUUGAUUUUUUGUUGUUAUUAUUAAAUGGUAAUUGAUUUUUUCUUUCUUUCUUUCUUUUUUUUUUUUUUAGAACCAUAUGCCACUUUGCUCUUUUAUACUGCAUGGGCAAAAACAAAUAAACCAACAAAUAAAUAAAUAAAAAAAACAUCUGGUGGAUAAAGUAGAUAGGCUUAAUCACCAUUCCCUGAGCCAGAUUACUACUGUAGUUUCACAAUCACUUCUAGAGUUAGUCAAAUGCUGCUUCUUUUGACACUGAUUUGCAAGCUUAGGGGGCUUUGUUUGGAAACCCAGUUCUGGAAUGUGUUUAAUUGCUUUUUUAUUUCCACAAAGUGAAACUGCUUUAGACAAACACAAGGUUCUUAAUUUACUGCCAUUGUUACCCAACGAGACUGGGACAGGAAGUAAGUGCAGGAUCAAAGUCUUCAUUAUCCACUAAAGUCAAUAUACACGAUACAGGAAAUGAGGUCAAAACAUAAACUAGAAUUGAGGCAUGAAACAAGAAACUAGAACUUGACUUUGAAACAAUACUGCGUAGCACCGGGGCAGGGUUAGAAAUGGGUAAGAUGGGUAAUGGUGUCAUGCGGUGUGUUUUCCAUGCACAACAAGGGCUGUGCAUGGAAAACACACCGCAUGACACCAUUACCCAUCUAACCCAUUUCUAACACUGCCCCGGCGGGAAUCAAACCCCAGACCCUGGAGGUGCGAGGCACACAUGCUAACCACUAAGCCACCAUGCGCCCGACGCCAUCAACCCAACACAGUAACUAGACCUGAGGCGCGAAACAUGAAACCAAACAUGUAACCUGCAUCACGUUUUUGUUUAAUGAGCACUCGUGUAUAUAUAGUGCCACUGUUUGCACUGAUUCUUUUUCUCACAUAAUUGUCUUAGACUACCGUGUUCCAUGUUACCGUGUUUUGGUCUUGUAGUUUAUUGUGUAGUCUGUACCACAGUGUUUUGCAUCAGUCUAAAUAUCCUUUGUGUUUUGGUUGGUUUAUAUAAUAAAACGUUGAAAAUCUGAGAUUGCUUCCGCACACAUCUUUGAGACGUGACAGAAUGUGAGACCUACAACAGAAGCAGCGGAUCAUCAUUAAGUACCUGGGCUUUGAUCUUCCACCUAUGUUCAUGGAGAACUGUGCCGCGCCACGACAACAGGAGGUGGAGUGCCAAGCUGCGCCGCAUACGCAGCAGAUCUCCAUGAAGUAUCUGGGCUUCACUCUAACACCUGUGUUCGCAGAGGACUACGCCACGCCAUGCCAACAGGAGGAGGAGUCCAGGUACAAGUGGGAGUCUGUAGUCGGGGCUAGUGCCAUCUCCCACCCUCCCUCCCCUAUAAUGGAUCCAGGUCAGCAAACGGAGUCAGCGGAGAAUGAAAGUCAGCCUCCCUGCUCAUCUGAGGAUGCCACUCUGCUUUUUGGGUCAGCUGAGGAUGCCUCUCAGUCACCCAGGCUGGCUGAAGACGUUGCUUCCCCUCUGUUCGCCAAUUCCGUGUACAACGCCUCUGUGCUUGCCUGCUCAGCUGAGGACAUCACUCUGCCUUCCUGCUCGGCUGAGGACGUCGCUCUGCCUUCCUGCUCGGCUGAGGACACCGCUCAGCCUUUCUGUUUGGCUGAGGACGUUGCUCUGUCUUUCUGUUCAGCUGAGGACGUCGCUCUGCCUUCCUGCUCGGCUGAGGACGCCGUUCUGCCUACCUGCUCAGCUGAGGACUUCGCUCUUCCUUCCUGCUCGGCUGAGGUCAUCACUCUGCCAUCCUGCUUUGCUGAGGAGGUGGCUCUGCCUCCAUGUUCCACUGAAGACGCCGUUCCUCUUCUUUGCUGCGCGCCGUAUGUCACUCCCCCUUCCUGCUCCACAGAGGACACUGUUUCCCCCUCGUGCUCCACGGAGAGCAUCGUUCCUCCCUCGGGCCUCGUGGAUAACCUCGCUCCCCUCUCCUGUCCUGCGGAGGAAGUUGUCCUGCUGUCCUACCCUGCAGACGUUGCUCUGAGCUCCAGCCCCACUGAAGACGUCGCUCUGAGCUCCAGCCCUGCUGAGGACGUUGCUCUGCUUACCUGUGACACUGAGGAAGGUGCGUUGCAUUCUUGCUCCACUGAGGAUGCCGCUCAGUCUCCUAGUUUUGCUGGGGACAUUUUGCCCAGGGGGCCAGGACUACCAGAUGGAGGGAGUGCAUUUUUGGGCGCUCCGAGUGAAGUGCCCUUGGGGGAGGGGGGUUCUGUCAUAUUUCAAGGAAGUAACUCUGGACUUCAUUUCCCAGCAGCCACUGCACCAUAUUACUGUCACAUGACCACCUGCACCUGUAUCAAGUUUUUGUUUAACGAGCACUCAUAUAUAUAUAUAGCCACUGUUUGCACUGCUUCUCUGUUUCAUGUAAUUGUCUUAGACUACCGUGUUCCAUGUUACUGUGUUUUGGUCUUGUUAGUUUAUUGUGUAGUCUACCACAGUGUUUUGCAUCAGUCUAAGUAUCCUUUGUGUUUUGGUUGGUUUAUAUAAUAAAACGUUGAAAAUCUGCGAUUGCUUCCACACCCAUCUUUGAGAUGUGACAGCCAUAGAGUGAAGCUGCUUUAGACAAACACAAAGCACUUAAGGUACACAUUUUGAAUACCACCUGUUAAAAAGUGUUUUAUAGUUUUAGAUUAUGCUUGCUGUGCAGAGGUAUGGAUUGACACAGAAAAGAAUUAGGCGUACUGUUGAGUAAGACACAGAAUUCUUCUAACUCAAUACACACUUAUAACUUGAUCAACA
Long non-coding RNA from Ictalurus punctatus (channel catfish), 9856 nucleotides. The record is from Ensembl. NCBI's taxonomy places the organism in Eukaryota, Metazoa, Chordata, Actinopteri, Siluriformes, Ictaluridae.